AGAGUUUGAUCAUGGCUCAGGAUGAACGUUGGCGGCGUGCCUAAUACAUGCAAGUCGAACGGAGAUUGUAGCAAUACGGUCUCAGUGGCGAACGGGUGAGUAACGCGUUGGUGACCUGCCCCGAAGUGUGGAAUAACAGAUCGAAAGAGCUGCCAAUACCGCAUAAUAUCCAGAGGACUAGAUGCCUUUGGAUUAAAGGAUUUAUUCGCUUCGGGAGGGGCCUGCGUCCCAUCAGCUAGUUGGUAAGGUAAAGGCUUACCAAGGCUAUGACGGGUAGGGGACCUGAGAGGGUGGCCCCCCACAAUGGAACUGAAACACGGUCCAUACACCUACGGGUGGCAGCAGUAGGGAAUAUUAGUAAUGGGCGAAAGCCUGAACUAGCAACGCCGCGUGUGCGAAGAAGGCCUUCGGGUUGUAAAGCACUUUUUGAGAGGAUGAGGAAGGACGGUACUCUCAGAAUAAGUCUCGGCUAACUACGUGCCAGCAGCCGCGGUAACACGUAGGAGGCGAACGUUAUCCGGAUUUACUGGGCGUAAAGCGCGUGUAGGUGGUUUGGUAAGUAGGGCGUGAAAGCUCCUGGCUCAACUGGGAGAGGCCGUUCUAAACUGCCGAACUAGAGGAUGGUAGAGGGAGGUGGAAUUCCGGGUGUAGCGGUGGAAUGCGCAGAUAUCCGGAGGAACACCAGUGGCGAAAGCGGCCUCCUGGACCACUCCUGACACUCAGACGCGAAAGCUAGGGUAGCAAACGGGAUUAGAGACCCCGGUAGUCCUAGCCCUAAACGAUGUAGACUUGGCGUCGGUGGUUUAAACGCCAUCGGUGUCGAAGCUAACGCGAUAAGUCUACCGCCUGGGGACUACGGCCGCAAGGUUAAAACUCAAAGGAAUUGACGG
This 890-nucleotide ribosomal RNA is filed under the name uncultured Anaerolineaceae bacterium. RNAcentral's name for it is "bacterial SSU rRNA". It matches the Rfam family "Bacterial small subunit ribosomal RNA", at positions 8 to 916 of the family's 1533-position model. Lineage: Bacteria; Bacillati; Chloroflexota; Anaerolineae; Anaerolineales; Anaerolineaceae. The record is from RNAcentral.